GGAGCCGUGCCUGAACCAAAGGAUCACUUUGAUAGAGUGAAUCACGAGGGUUAAAACCCCUCCGACUCCU
Molecule: transfer RNA, 70 nt
Filed under: Kurtus gulliveri (nurseryfish)
Lineage: Eukaryota; Metazoa; Chordata; Actinopteri; Kurtiformes; Kurtidae
Description: tRNA-Ile
Rfam family: tRNA
About the family: Transfer RNA (tRNA) molecules are approximately 80 nucleotides in length.
Source: RNAcentral